RNAcentral lists this ribosomal RNA (143 nucleotides) under Colletotrichum spaethianum. Its description in RNAcentral is "partial large subunit ribosomal RNA". Lineage: Eukaryota; Fungi; Ascomycota; Sordariomycetes; Glomerellales; Glomerellaceae. The record is from RNAcentral.
CAGGCCAGCAUCAGCUUGCCGUCGGGGACAAAAGCUUCAGGAACGUAGCUCUCUUCGGGGAGUGUUAUAGCCUGUUGCAUAAUACCCUUCGGCGGGCUGAGGUACGCGCUCCGCAAGGAUGCUGGCGUAAUGGUCAUCAGCGA